GUAGCUCAGAUCCCUGAAUACAAACCAGUCAUAGAGGAAACAAAGGGACCAUCCCAGGACCAACGUAAAUCCAUUUUUGGUGGGAUUCAGUUUUCUUCCCCUUCAUUAGCAGGCUUCAUGAGGUGACUCGUGAAGCUGUAUGAUUAUACUACCUCUGACAAGGACAACCCCUACGGCAGGCCUGCAGUGUGACACCAACAUCAAACCACUGGGCCCAACCACGCUGUACGAGGUUGUUCAUGCCGAACAAAAUGAAACCUAAAAGAAUGAACAGCAUGCAGUUAAUCCAAAGAUAAAGUGUGGAUGAGCACUGAGUUGGAGCAGAGAGGUUUAUACUAUAGUAUUGGAUUAGCAGCUGUCAUUGCUCGGCACUUUAGGGCAGGUGAGAGGAAGAAUACACCCCAGUGUUUGAACAUUCACAACAAAAGACACAUGCUCAGGUAAACUUGCUCUCAUGCUUACGCAAUAGGCUGUCUUUCUUUCCAGUGUAAAGGACAAACCCGACAGUCAAAAGAAAACAUCCAAUCCAAGGUGGGUGUAUAGAGUGAGGUAAACAUUCAACCAGGUAGAGUAUAACGUGAUCCAAAAGUAUGAAUGAGGUUUUUAUCACAAUGAUCAUAUGACAGGUUCAAACUACAUGUAUAUUACAAUAGCAGUAAGGAAAGAAAGAAAAAGAAAAUAAAAUGUUCUAUUCAAGUGCAGUAAUAUAGCUUCUGUUGCUUCCAUGGUAUCUGGCUGUUUAGAUAUUAAUAGAAAGUACGUAUUUCAUAAUAGGCUAAUUUGUUUUAUUGGGGCAUUAAGCAGAAGUGAAGAGAAUGUAAAAGUAGUCACAUUAGUCAGUUGUAAAUAAUUGUACAUGUGACGAUAUAGCUUGGAAGACAGCAAAAGUAUUUUUCCUCAUUUCAUACGUCUUACAAUUGCUCAUGCAAUCAAAUGUCAAUGGUCGUGUCAAAUCAAGAC
Molecule: long non-coding RNA, 960 nt
Organism: Hippocampus comes (tiger tail seahorse)
Lineage: Eukaryota; Metazoa; Chordata; Actinopteri; Syngnathiformes; Syngnathidae
Exons: 2
Source: RefSeq, a predicted model, not a curated record